This 504-nucleotide ribosomal RNA is filed under the name uncultured bacterium. Its description in RNAcentral is "partial 16S ribosomal RNA". It matches the Rfam family "Bacterial small subunit ribosomal RNA", at positions 30 to 523 of the family's 1533-position model. The record is from RNAcentral.
AUUGAACGCUGGCGGCGUGCUUUACACAUGCAAGUCGAACGGCAUCACGAGUGCUUGCACUUGGUGGCGAGUGGCGAACGGGUGAGUAAUACAUCGAAACGUACCGUAUAGAGGGGGAUAACCAAUCGAAAGAUUGGCUAAUACCGCAUAAUCUCUGAGGAGGAAAGGUGGGGACCUGAGAGGGCCUAUCGCUGUAUGAGCGGUCGAUGGUUGAUUAGCUAGUUGGUGGGGGAAAGGCUUACCAAGGCGAUGAUCGAUAGCUGUUCAGAGAGGAAAUGAACACAAACUGGGAUUGAUACCCGGUCCAGAUCCCUACAGGACGAAGCAGUGGGGACUAUUGGGCACUGGGGGGACCCCUGAAUCAGGACCGCGGCCUGAAUGAAGUAGGCCUUCGGGUUGUACACUGCUUUUGUACGAAACGAAACGGCCUUUUAUAAUCAAGAGGGCUAAUGACGGUACCGUAAGAAUAAGCACCGGCUAACUACGUGCCAGCCGCCGCCGUAA